AACCAACAGGGAUUGCUCUAGUAACGGCGAGUGAAGCAGCAAUAGCUCAAAUUUGAAAUCUGGCGUCUUCGACGUCCGAGUUGUAAUUUGUAGAGGAUGCUUCUGAGUAACCACCGACCUAAGUUCCUUGGAACAGGACGUCAUAGAGGGUGAGAAUCCCGUAUGCGGUCGGAAAGGUGCUCUAUACGUAGCUCCUUCGACGAGUCGAGUUGUUUGGGAAUGCAGCUCUAAAUGGGAGGUAAAUUUCUUCUAAAGCUAAAUAUUGGCCAGAGACCGAUAGCGCACAAGUAGAGUGAUCGAAAGAUGAAAAGCACUUUGGAAAGAGAGUUAAAAGCACGUGAAAUUGUUAAAGGGAGGGAUUGCAACCAGACUUGCUCGCGGUGUUCCGCCGGUCUUCUGACCGGUCUACUCGCCGCGUUGCAGGCCAGCAUCGUCUGGUGCCGCUGGAUAAGACUUGAGGAAUGUAGCUCCCUCGGGAUGUUAUAGCCU
This 489-nucleotide ribosomal RNA is filed under the name uncultured Davidiellaceae. RNAcentral describes it as "eukaryotic LSU rRNA". It matches the Rfam family "Eukaryotic large subunit ribosomal RNA", at positions 63 to 561 of the family's 3401-position model. Lineage: Eukaryota; Fungi; Ascomycota; Dothideomycetes; Cladosporiales; Cladosporiaceae. The record is from RNAcentral.